AGGACGAACGCUGGCGGCGUGCUUAACACAUGCAAGUCGAGCGGAAAGGCCCUUCGGGGCACUCGAGCGGCGAACGGGUGAGUAACACGUGAGCAACCUGCCCUUAGCUUCGGGAUAGCUCCGGGAAACCGGAAUUAAUACCGAAUAUGACUGCGGCUGACAUCAGCCACGGUGGAAAGUUUUUCGGCUAGGGAUGGACUCGCGGCCUAUCAGCUAGUUGGUGAGGUAACGGCCCACCAAGGCGACGACGGGUA
RNAcentral lists this ribosomal RNA (254 nucleotides) under uncultured bacterium. RNAcentral describes it as "partial small subunit ribosomal RNA". It matches the Rfam family "Bacterial small subunit ribosomal RNA", at positions 26 to 285 of the family's 1533-position model. The record is from RNAcentral.